CGCGGCCUAUCAGCUUGUUGGUGAGGUAACGGCUCACCAAGGCGAUUACGGGUAGCUGGUCUGAGAGGACGAUCAGCCACACUGGAACUGAGAUACGGUCCAGACUCCUACGGGAGGCAGCAGGAGGGAAUCUUGCGCAAUGGGCGAAAGCCUGACGCAGCGACGCCGCGUGGGGGAUGAAUGCCUUAGGGUUGUAAACCCCUUUCACGAGGGAAGAAACUGACGGUACCUCGAGAAGAAGCCCCGGCCAACUACGUGCCAGCAGCCGCGGUAAUACGUAGGGGGCGAGCGUUGUCCGGAUUUAUUGGGCGUAAAGGGCUCGUAGGCGGCUUGGCAAGUCGGCCGUGAAAACCCAGGGCUCAACUCUGGGACGCCGGUCGAUACUGCCAUGGCUAGGGUCCGGUAGAGGGGAAUGGAAUUCCCGGUGUAGCGGUGAAAUGCGCAGAUAUCGGGAGGAACACCAGUAGCGAAGGCGGUUCCCUGGGCCGGCACCGACGCUGAGGAGCGAAAGCGUGGGGAGCAAACAGGAUUAGAUACCCUGGUAGUCCACGCCGUAAACGUUGGGUACUAGGCGUGGCGUCUUGUCAACGGAUGCCGUGCUCGAAGCUAACGCGUUAAGUACCCCGCCUGGGGAGUACGG
RNAcentral lists this ribosomal RNA (640 nucleotides) under uncultured bacterium. Its description in RNAcentral is "bacterial SSU rRNA". It matches the Rfam family "Bacterial small subunit ribosomal RNA", at positions 232 to 885 of the family's 1533-position model. The record is from RNAcentral.